RNAcentral lists this ribosomal RNA (556 nucleotides) under uncultured archaeon. RNAcentral describes it as "bacterial SSU rRNA". It matches the Rfam family "Archaeal small subunit ribosomal RNA", at positions 102 to 653 of the family's 1478-position model. The record is from RNAcentral.
GGAUAACUUACCCUUAGGACUGGGAUAACUCUGGGAAACUGGGGAUAAUACCGGAUAUUAGGCUAUGGCUGGAAUGCUUUGCCUUUGAAAUGUUUCUUGUAUUCGCCUAAGGAUAGAUCUGCGGCUGAUUAGGUCGUUGGUGGGGUAAUGGCCCACCAAGCCUAUGAUCGGUACGGGUUGUGAGAGCAAGAGCCCGGAGAUGGAACCUGAGACAAGGUUCCAGACCCUACGGGGUGCAGCAGGCGCGAAACCUCCGCAAUGUACGAAAGUGCGACGGGGGGAUCCCAAGUGUUAUUCUUAAUAGGAUAACUUUUCAUUAGUGUAAAAAGCUUUUAGAAUAAGAGCUGGGCAAGACCGGUGCCAGCCGCCGCGGUAACACCGGCAGCUCAAGUGGUAGCUGUUUUUAUUGGGCCUAAAGCGUUCGUAGCCGGUUUGAUAAGUCUUUGGUGAAAGCUUAUGGCUUAACUGUAAGAAUUGCUGAAGAUACUGUCAGACUUGAAGUCGGGAGAGGUUAGAGGUACUACCGGGGUAGGGGUGAAAUCCUAUAAUCCUGGGA